This is a long non-coding RNA of Hippocampus comes (tiger tail seahorse), 1264 nucleotides long. RefSeq lists it as uncharacterized. The record is from RefSeq and is a predicted model, not a curated record. The transcript has 2 exons. Lineage: Eukaryota; Metazoa; Chordata; Actinopteri; Syngnathiformes; Syngnathidae.
UUAUUUUCCAAAAACAUAAUACGUUCCGAGAUGUUUGGCUGAAAGAGAUGCACUGUGAGACUAACUUCCGCUGGAUCGAUUGACUUUUCGACGGGUUAAUUGCCAGACCGGAAAAAGCUUUUUCAAAAACAAUUUUUAAAAUGCAACAUUUUGACAUACCUUCAAAUAAAUUCAAUGUAACAAGUAUCAUUUCCCCGUAACGUCUGUCUAUGACGUACCUCGCACUUCCAAGCUUGUUGCCCCUCAAUUGCGCAUUACCGUCGAGGAUACAAGUGUGCAGGUGUGUCCUAAUUCACCGAAGGGCUGUCACCCAGCCCAAACAAACGGUGCAGUACAAAACCCAUGAAGCAGACACUUCGUUGAUUGAUAAAUUGCGAUUUUAUAUGCUGUGGUUUUUAUCAUUUAUGUAGCAGCCAGUAUAGUUAAUGCCUAAUAGUCACAAAAAGAAAGAAAAAAUGAGUACCGGUCGUAAGCGCUUGUUUUACAAGUUGGUCUGAAACCGUAUUUGCCUUUAUUUUCAAAUCUAUACCGCCACCGAUUCCCGUUGUCUUUUAUUUUGAACUAUAUCCCACCACUUCCUGCCUGGCAGUGCACCUGGUCUGUCAGUGCACCUCCCUUGCAAAAAAGAGGGGGGAACUACCUUUUGCUGUUGUUUUUGCUCAGGAUCCACGAGGAAGCGUCAGUUCCACGUACACGAUGAAACUUUUUCACCAAAAGCACAAAGUUCCGUUCUGUGAAAGCGGAGCCGCCAUGUAUGGAUUUCACACUCAUUUGGUGCGCAGUUGUUUUCGUAUUAGAAAUGUGAUUUGGCGCACGUGCACAAGGGGCCAAAAAAAAAAAAAAAAGUGUCAGAGCAGCUUGCGGAUCAAAGAGUGCAACUGAUAGGACUGCUGACUUGAUGUUGUUUUGUACAAGAAUGUGCCAUUCUCUCUUUAGUUCUCCUUUAUGAUUUCUUGGUCAAGAAUGAAGGUUGAGUGCCUUUUAAAAAAAAACAAAAAUCGAUACGAAUAGAUAAUUCGAUUUCUGGGCGCUGUUGAUCAGCCUGAUGACAUGAUCUCUGUUAACUUAUUGAACAAGAUGUAAAUUGUGUAAAGGUGCGCGCUGGUGGAUGACACUUGCUUUGUUGAUUCAUGAAACCUUUUUGUUUUUUUUAAAAAUGUGCUCGUUCCAUCCUAUUUGUUACUGAGAGGCAGUUGGGAUUUGAAGGGAAAUGUGAUGUGAUUUACCGCUCUGGAUUUAGAUUAAAGCUUCAUUUUGUAGCGUA